Xenia sp. Carnegie-2017 is the source of this 607-nucleotide long non-coding RNA. RefSeq lists it as uncharacterized. NCBI's taxonomy places the organism in Eukaryota, Metazoa, Cnidaria, Anthozoa, Malacalcyonacea, Xeniidae. The transcript has 3 exons. The record is from RefSeq and is a predicted model, not a curated record.
CCAAAGUAGUGAGAAUCAAUAUGGCGUUGUAUUAGAAAAUAUGUGGUCCAAGUGAAUAUCUCGCAAUUAUUAGCAAAUCGCGAAGGUUGCAUCAACUUUUUUGCACUAUUAAUGAAAAAAAUCAAUGUGACCAUAGUUUUUGAAGAAAACGAUAACAGAAUACGCCAAUACAUCGCCGUAAAAUUCAUUUCAAGUGUAGCUCGAUUUGAAAGCAUCAGCAGCGACGAAGGCUUAAGGUACUGGAAUUUCCACAUCUAAAUAUCAUAUCACAGCACAAUCUGCGAUAGUGUGGCUUAGUUCGUGUGGCAAAUACAGCGAUAUCAUACUCGAUCUAUGGAUGUAUUGUGCUGAUUGAUGUACAACAAGCAUAACGAUGAGCGGACAGGAAAUCAGAUUCUGCAGAUUGUUGACUUGAACCAAGUGCACCACAGCAAAUAGAACAGGAAAAGAAAAGACAAAACGUAAAAAAAAGAAAGCAAACAUUGCGCAAAUUGAAAAUGUUGAAUUCACAGAGACGGAAGAAGGAACUUGUACUGUCAGUUCUCAUGGUAGUUCUUCCACGAAUACGACUGCUCACGAUAGUUCCACGAGUUUUACCCGAGCGGCA